CAAGAAUCACCCAGGACUGGAGCCCAGGAAUCUGCUCAGUAACGUGACUGGGGUGCAUAGGAAGAGAAGAUCAUCAGUGGCAAAUGGCAGUCACAGGAAAGCAACACCCACAGCCGGUUUCACACGUGUGGAGAGCACCCUGAGCCUCCUCCUCCUGGUUUCCCGUGCUCUGCAAGUUCAGAGAAACUUCUCUCACAACCAACUAUAGAAACAAUCUUGGAACGUACAGUCUUAGAAAUGGCUUUUUAAUUGCAGCAUAUCAGAGUGAAAAAGGACCCAGAGAUGUUGGAAUCAGACAAUCCUGGUUUCAAAUCGGUUUCAUUGUUCAUCCUCAUGUGAUGUUUGGCAAGAAAUAAAACAUUUCUGCGUUCAGUUUCCUUGUCUGUGAUAUUACAUAACAUAUUGCAAAUAUGCUGAGUGUUGAGAAAAUAAUGAACAACAUGCAAGGAGUAGCUGGGAUAUGGUAGCAGCUCAGUAGAUAAUGAUGAUGAUCAAUAUUCACCAUUGACAAGUAGCUGUGAAAUCCACAAAUGGUGGACAUAAAAGGUUAACCAGUGAAGUGCUGGGACAACGUAGCUGAAGAAAUAUUGGAAUGUUCCUGCUCAGAUUGGCCUCAGCCUGAAAACUGUUUACUUCCUGCCCAAAUCUGGGGCCUGUCUCCUCUUCCAGCAUUCCCUGAGGGAGGAGACAGAGAAAGAAAGUAUAGGCAGAAAUCAUAGAAGUCAGCUGCUUUCAGAUAACUUCUAUAGCUGGUAUUUUUACAGAGACUACAUGUUGGGAGAUGGUAAAUUUACCUAGAAAUUAAUGUGAUGAAGACUUUAUACGUGAAACGGGAACUUUGGGAUACUGACAACAGACAGAAUAAUGACUCUGUAGUGGUUUUUUGGGGGUUUUGUUUUGUUUUAGACAAAGUCUUGCUCUGUCACCCAGGCUGGAGUGCAGUGGCGCGAUUUUGGCUCACUGCAACCUCUGCCUCCUGAGUUCAAGUGAUUCUCCUGCUUCAGCCUCCUGAGUAGCUGGGAUUACAGGUUCCCGCCACCACACCUGGCUAGUCUUUUGUAUUUUUAGUAGAGAUGGGGUUUCACCAUGUUGGCCAGGCUGGUUUCGAACUCCUGGCCUCAAAUGAUCCACCUUGGCCUCCCAAAGUGCUGGGAUUACAGGCAUGAGCCACUGCGCCUGGCCAUGAUUCUUUAGUAUUGAUAAAAGUUUUCAUAAAAGAUAUGUCACAGAGUAGGAUACAAAAAAGACACACAUCAAGCAUACUUUGGAUGGUGAAAUGAGAAUAGUGUACAGGGAAAGGCAGGAAAGACCUGGCUUAGGGAUUCUCCAGUUCCCCAACUGGGCACCACUGAAUGCUGGAAACAAUACUGAAGAUGACAAUUUUCUAGGGACCUAAUCUGGCAGAGGGUAAUAGUAACCCUCCCAGAAUGGUGUCUUAAUAAGUUUUCUUCCUGCUUGGAGAUGUUACGCUAUCUAUUUGCAAGUAUGUUUUGUCGUUCAAUUAUCAUAUCAAGCCUAUGAAAUUGGUUUUAUUUUUAGCCCCAUGGUCCUGGGAAUAUUUUGGGAAGUGGUUACAUCUUGAGUAAUGGAGAAUACCAGUUGAAUCCCACAUUGUGUGAAAUAUGUCUCCAUUGGAGAGAUUUACCAUUUGUCUUCCCAGUAUCCAUUCGCUAUUUUUAAGGUAAAAUGACACCUCAAAUUCCAUCUGGGGAACCACUCUCUCCCACUCUCAGGCCACAUAGUUUAAAAAGCAUCACAUCCAUUCUUAACAUUCUCUUUUGUUAGAGGAUUUAGUUCAUUCAUCCUCCAUGUGACCCAGUCAGAACGAGGCAUAAGGAGACUGUUGUUCUUUCCCAAGGGACUUGAACCUGGAAGUAGGUGAGCUGGUGCUACUGUUGCCACCUUGCCACCACAGGUAAGUGAAGAAUAAGGCCAAUGAGUGGAUGAACACAGAGCCCACUGAGAGGUGGACAGAAAAUGGGUCUUGAUGACAUUUUUGGAGCCUAAAUGAAACUGUUAUUGAAGAAAGUCCCAUCCUGGAAUUUUUACCUAUGUGAGCCAAUAAACUUUCUUCUGCCUUGAGCUAGUUUUGGUGGAGUGUUUUUUGUUUUUUUGUUUUUUUUUUUUCAUUUUCAACAGAAGAGAGUUGAUUUGGUUUGGCUGUGUCCCCACCCAAGUCUUAUCUUGAAUUCUAGUUCCCAUAAUCCUCACAUGUCAUGGGAGGGACCUGGUGGGAGGUAAUUGAAUCAUGAGGGUGGUUUCUCCCAUUCUGUUCUUGUGAUAACGAGUUCUCAUGAGAUCUUAUGGUUUUAUAAGCAUCUGGCAUUUCCCCUGCUUGCACUCCUUCUCUCUCCUGCCGCUGUGUGAAGAGGUGCCUUCCACCAUGAUUGUAAAUUUCCUGAGGCCUCCCCAGCCCUGUGGAACUGUGAGUCAAUUAAACCUCUUUUCUUUAUAAAUUAGCCAGUCUUGGGUAUUUCUUCAUAGCAGCAUGAGAACAGACUAAUACAAGAGUCCUAACUGGAAAAAGAUCUCUUUCUCCCCACUCAAUGCCAUAACAAACUAUAGAUAGAGCUUGUCUGUUAGGUGGCUGUUUUGCAAACCAAGGACAAAAUGGAAAACUGGCAAGUCAUGGGCAAUUUUAUGCUCUGAGAGAAUGUAAAGACAAUCUCCCCAACAUAGAGCACAUUUCUGCAGGGAUUGCUGGUUACAUACUGUGAUAGUUGUUCUUUCCGUCUUAAAGUCCUGAUUAUAGCUGGGCAUAUAAUCAAUUUUUUAAAAAGACUUCAUCAGACUCUUUUGUGACUCAGCAUGGCCAUCUGACUAAUCUCUGGCCAAUGGGAUUUAAGCAGCUUCUCCAGGUAAUUUCCUUAAAAGAUAGCCAGGAUGUGCCCUUUGUCCUUUUUUCUUUGUCCUUUCCUUCAUCGUGCUGCCUAAAAUGUGGGUAUGAUGGCUGGAAUUCUAACUAUCAUCUUGUAUCAUGAGGCCAGAUUUCUACUUCAGAAAUGGCAGAGCCAUGAGCUAAAAAGAUUCUGGAUCCGUAGGAACUUCAGGGAACAAGCUAUCUUACAGCUCUGGUUUGCCAACAUUUGAAUUCUUACUUGAGAAAGAAAUAAACCUCUGUCCUAUUUAAGUCACUGUUAUUUUGAGUUUUUGUUAGCAUCAAGCUUAAUCCUAAUUAAGGCAGUUCCAAGAACAUGUUUUACAAGAAAUUAUUUUCUCAAUCUUUCUUUGACUAUCCAUGAAACUGAAAAUGAGUACAGCUAAUGUAUGUAAAGUCCAUAUGAUGUUGAUAUAUUCUUUCAAUAUAUAUUAUAUAAGCAAUUGCAGCAAUGUCCAAGUUAGAUUCAGUGCAAACCAAAGUGACCCAAUUCUUCCUAUCUGCUGGGUGCUGUGCUAGGCCAAUGGGAUUUGUCAAUGAUAAAAGUACAAAUUUAUUUUUUCUUUCCUUAACAAAUAUUUCUUUUAUAAAAUUUUGUACCCUUUGACUAAUAACUGCAUUUUUUUUCUCCCCCUGGUGCCUGGCAACCACUAUUUUACUCUCUGCUUUUAUGAAUUUGAUUAUUUUACAUUCCUCAAGUAAGUGAUAUCAUGUAGUAUUUGUCCUUCUGUGUCCGGUUUAUUUCAUUUAGCAUAAUGUCCUCCAGGUUCAUCCAUGUUGUUGCAAUUGGCAAGGUUUUCUUUUCUUUCUUUAAGUCUGAAUAGUAUUCCAGUGUAGGUAUGUACCACAUUUUCUUUAUUCAUUCAUCUGAUGAUGGAUAUAUAGCUUAUUUCCAUAUCUUGGCUAUUGUGAAUAAUGCUGCAAUGAACAUGGGAAUGAAGGUAUCUCUUUGAGAUCCUGAUUUCCAUUUUUUUUUUGAUAUCUACCUAGAAGUGGGAUUGGUGGGUUUAUGGUUUGUUUAUUUAUUUAUUUAUUUAUUUAUUUAUUUAUUUAUUUAUUUUUGAGACGGAGUUUUGCUCUGUCACCCAGGCUGGAGUGCAGUGGCAUGAUCUCGGCUCACUGCAACCUCCGCCUCCUGGGUUCAAGUGAUUCUCCUGCCUCAGCCUCCCGAGUAGCUGGGAAUCCAGGCAUGCAACAACACGCCUGGCUGAUUUUUGUACUUUUAGUAGGGACAGGGUUUCACUAUAUUGGCCAGGCUGGUCUCGAGCUCAUGAUAUCAUGUGAUCCGCCCACUUUGGCCUCCCAAAGUGCUGGGGUUACAGGUGUGAGCCACUGCACCUGGCCAUCAUUUUUAAUUUUUUGAGGAACCUCUAUGCUGUUUUCCAUAGUGACUUACGAAUUUACAUUCUUACCAACAAUGUACAAUGGUUCCCUUUCCUCCACAUGCUCAAUAACAACUUAUCUUUCAUUUGUUUGUUUGUUUAUUUAUUUGUUUGUUUUAUAAUAGUCAUACUAACAGAUGUGAGGUGAUAUCUCAUUGUGGUUUUGAUUUGUUUAUUUGUUUUAUUAUUUGUUUGUUUGUUUUAUAAUAGUCAUACUAACAGAUGUGAGGUGAUAUCUCACUGUGGUUUUUAUUUCCAUUUCCCUGGUGAUUAGUGAUGUUGAGCACCUUUUUGUAUACCUGUUGGCCAUGUGUAUGUCUUCUUUGAAAACUGUUCAGGUCCUUUACCCAUUUUUUAAUCGAGUUACUUGCUUUUUGCUAUUGAGUUGUAGAAAUUAUUUAUAUAUAUUGGAUGUGUCAACCCUUGAUCAGAUAUAUCAUUUGCAAAUACUUUCUCCCAUUCCUUAUGCUGCCUUUGCAUUUUGUUGAUUGUUCUCUUUGCUGCGCAGAAUCUUUUUAUUUUGAUGUAAUUUCAUCUGCCUACUUUUGCUUUUUUGCCUGAAUUUUGGUUUUAUAUUUAAAAAAAUCACUGCCAAGGCCAAUGUCAGGAAGUUAUUUUCCUAUGUAGUCUUCUAGGAGUUUUACAGUUUCAGGUCUUAUGUUUAAAUCUUCAAUCCAUUUUGAGUUGAGUUUUUGGUAUGGUUUAAGAUAAAGGUCCAAUUGUCCAAUUUGCAUGGAGAUAUACAGUUUUUCCAGUACCGUUUAUUGAAGAGACUGUCCUUUCCCCAUUGUGUAUUCUUGGCACCCUUGUCAAAGAUUAUUUGACCAUCUGUUAGUCUAUAUGUCUGUUUUUAAGCCAGUACCAUACUGUUUUGAUUACUGUAGCUUAAUAACAUAUUUUUAUUUUAUUUUGAGUUUUAUAGAGGCAGGGUCUCACUAUAUUGGCCAGGAUGGUCUCAAACUCCUGGUCUCAAGCAAUCCUCCUGCCUCAGUCUCCCAGUGUGCUGGGAUUACAGGCAUGAGCCACCACACCUAGCUUUUUAUAUAUUUUGAAAUCAGGAAGUUUGAUGCCUCCUUCCAGUUAUGUUCUUGAUGAAAGUAUGAGUUUUAUACACAGAUUUAAUUUUUGGUUAAAAAUCAAUUAAAUUAUACUUUCAAAGAUAAGAUUUUGAGGUGUUUUAGAAGAGAAAUGAGAAGCAAGGUGCUAUGUAUAUUGUAGUUUGGAUAAAUGUUGUUCAUAGAGGUAUAGACACUGAAAGCCUUUGCUUCACAAUAGCUAUGGUACAGAUGCUAUAGGGCGGAAAAUAAUUAGUCAGGGCUGAAGUUAAUAAACUACAUAGGAAUCACUGGAUUCAAUUCUAUUUGUUUCACGGAGGUACUUCACAUUGCUAGGUGACUUUGAAGGAAAGCAAGUAUUUUUCAGCUUUAAAAUUAGAAAAAUUAGUGGAUGUUAGGCAAUCUACGAAAAAUUUUGAAGUAAUUAUUAGUAAUUUCUCAACAGUAGGUAAAUUCAAAUGUUCAUUCCCAUGUUAAAGAUAUGGAGGCAGAAAAUAAAAAACUAAAAAUGAUCAUGGGAGUGGUGUUGCUAGAAACUGGGAAUAACGUUCAUAUCCUUUAGCUUUGUGACUACCCAUCUACCCACACAUUCAUAUAUGGGAGUUAUUGAUAGUUCUGAUUUGUUUGAUUGGUGAAUGUCAUUUUCCAAGAUAUGUUGAAAUUCCUAGAAGAAAUAAGUGUUUUGUCAGGUGUGAUGAAUGCAGGGAAGGAAGAUGAAAACAAGACAACAUAGAUGUAUCAGUUUUCUCUUGCUGUUAAUAAACUACCCUAAAUAAAGCUUAGUGGCUUAAAACAAUAGCAUGUGAUUCUGGAGGUUGACAAUUUGGGCUGAGCUCAGCUGGGCAGUUUUGAUCUCAUCUUUUUCACGUGUCUUUUGCAACCCUGGGGUGACUAUGUGGGUCUUCUGGGAGUUGACGGCUGUUGGUUGAAAUACCUGGACUUUCCUCCACAUGGUCCCUCAUCCUCUAGAAGGCUAACAUGCACUUAUUCCCAUAGUAGUAGCAGAAUUUUAAGAGAAAGUGGGUUUGCAUGUGGUGGCUCACACCUGUAAUCCCAGCACAUUGGACAGCUGAGGCAGGUAGAUUGCUUGAGCCCAGGAGUUUGAAACCAGCCUGGGCAACAUGGUGAAAUCUUGUCUCUACAAAAAUUACAAGAAUUAACUGGUCAUGGUGUCACGGGCCUGUAGUCCCAGCUAGUCAGGAGGCUGAGGCAGGAGGCUUGAGCCUGGGAGGCAGAGUUUGCAGUAAGCCAAGAUCACGUCACUGCACUCCAUCCUGGGCAAUACAGCAAGACCCUGUCUCAAAAAAAGAAAGAAAGAAGAAAGAAAAAGAAAGAAAGAAGAAGGAAAAAGAAAGAAAGAAAGAAGAAAAAAGAAAGAAGAAAAAGAAAGAAAGAAAGAAAAAAAGAAAGAAAAAAGAGAAAGAAAGAGAACACAUACAAGGAAUGUAUUCUAAGGAUUGGUUUUGAUCUCAUCUUCUGUUCCUUCCACUGCAUGCUACUAUAGUUUCCAAAAAACGGUAAGACCAGCCUUUUUGAUGAGAGGAGCUGCAGUCACAUUUCAAAGGGCAUAGAUACAAAAAAGGGAGGGGCGUGGCCAUUUUUCAAUCAAUCUACUGUCAUGAACAGUAUUGGGAAGCUGAGGGAAGAUGGUCUUGAUUUGUUGUUGAAAAAAUGUGUGGAGAAAUAGGAAGAAAUAAAAAGAGGAUACAGGCAGGGAGAAAGAAGGGCAUCAAAGAGCAAUGGCUGGUUAAAAUGUGAUACAAACAGCAAUAGGGAACCCCGGAAGACCCUUAAGCAAGGCAGAAAUGUAGACGAAGCAGAGGGCAUGUAUAAACAUCCGCAGAGUUAUAGGAGACUUCUGGCUGAGGGCCCGGCAAGAUAAGUAGAGCGUUUGUAUCUCUGAGUUUCUGAGUUAAUGAUGCCAGCAGUCUCUGGACCGGCCAAAUUGUGGUGGAUUUAUUAUUUACAUUACAACUGCAUUGUAAAAUGAAAGCAUAUGUCUAUAUUUUCAAUGCUUUGAAAAUAUCAUUGAACAUGCUGUAGAAUUUUAUAUCCAGUAUCAGGAUGCAAUUUCCCUAUCAAAUAAAAUUGUUGUUUGCUUUCUGUACUCUAUAUUAUUAUGGAAAUUUCACAGUUUAUCAGCUACAGUGAAGUCGACUGAAAUGAGUAGGCCACAUAUUAUACAAGCUGUUUUCUCCCACCCCUCCGAAUAUCCUGAUUCCCUUUCUAUUUAUGCUAAUACUGUUUUAUGCUAAUAAUGUACUUUUUCUGUUUAUCUGUUUUGUUGCCAUACAGCCUGAUUCAUAGGAGAAACGCAAAUGUUUUAAAGCUCUCUGGUGGAAAUGAUAGUGUUCUGAAAUAACUCUAGCCAGGAAACAUCUUGGUGGUACCCUCUAGUUUCACUUUUCUUCCUGCCUCUCUUGAUGAUCCAUUGCUGAACCCAACAAAUAAGAAGUUGCUUAGGGCCUGGUUAAUUUUGCUGAUUUCUGCAAAGUAUGCCUGUGUUUGUUCCUAGUGACCAUAAGAGUAAUAGUAACUUACUGUGCAACUGGAUAAUAUUGGGGGAGACCCCCUUUUCCAAAAGCAAUUGACCCCCUCCCCCUUUUUAAAAUUGCAGUGUGAAACCAGCAAGUACCCAAAUCCUGUUAGCACAUAGUGUUCUUAUAUUUCUGAGUUCUGGAAUAACAAUUUAAUAGGGUGUGUCUCCCCUUAAUGGUUGUGAUGCAGGGCAGGCAAGCGCCCAAAUUUAAGGGCUUAUCCUGGAGAAUUCUUGGCUUUGUCCAGGAAAGAAUUCAAUGGCAAGCUGGCGGUGUUAAACAGCAAUCUUUUAUUGAACAGUAGUGCUCCUUGUGGAACAGGGCUAACUCCUAGGCAGCAGGCCUACAACCUGCAAUGUAGGGGCUGUUGGCAACUGUAUUUCUACCCACUUUCAAUUACAUGCAAAUUAGGGGGUGGGUCAAUGCAAUUUGAGGGGAUGGGUUAUUUAGAACUUUCUGGGAAAGGGGCAGUAAUUUUCAGGUCAUUGCCAUGGAAAGGGGUGGUAACUUUCAGGUCGUUGCCAUGGCAUUUGUAAACCAUCAUAGCACUGGUGGGAGAGUCUUAUGCUAACAGGCAAUGAGGGCAGCUAGCUUUCCUCACCAUCUGCUGGGUCCUGCAGUUUUCUUCGCUUUAUUCCCUUGGAACCUGGAAAUGAGUCCCGCUGGUGUCCUACCUCAGUUGCAUGUUUUGAAAAAUAUACCGCAUUAGAGCUUGGUAGCUCCUAUUUUCUCUAAAAGUGGUCUUCAGGUCUUGUGUCCAUUUUCUCAUUUUAAUUUGUUGCCCUGCAUUUGGCUGACUGUGGAUUCUGAGCAGGAGGGAAGGAUCAGCUGGCAAAGCAAGGAAAAGUAUGGUGGAAGGGUCCUUCCCUGAUUAGGGGUCUAGGGGAUAGUUAUUUAACCUGUAAGUGUGAGAGAUUUUAUAAAGAAAAUAUUCAGAAAAAUCGCUUCUCGGCCUUUUGGUUAAGAUCAAGUGAAGAAAAUAUUCAGAAAAUAUCCGCUUGUGUAAAAUAAUAUUUAAAGAACAAAUGAAUGUUUCUGGUAGCAUGUCUUCAUUAUAAAGCCAGGUCAGUUAAUCCUUGUGGCUGAGAGCAUGACCUUUGACGCUAGUUUCCACCUCUUCCUAGCUGCAUGACUGUGGGCAAAUAUGUUAAACCUCAGUCAGUCUCGGCUUAAUAAUAACUCAUAAGAAUGUGUCAAAAGUUAAAUUAAUAAGUGUAUUUGGUGCACAGUGCUUGGCAUACAGUAAGGGCUCAGCACUGGCAUCAUCGUCAUUAUCACUGUUGUUGUCGUCAUUGUCAUUAACCAGCCUCCUCACAUCUAUUUUCUUAUGCUGGUGUUCAAGGCCAAACUCUAUCAAUCAUGUGAUGUUGACUAGUAGGUGCUAGGUACAUAGCCCUCAACAAGUUUAUGAGAAAUAAGGGAAUGAGUGAGUGAAUCUAUCAAUCAUAUUGUAAUUACAGUGGUGCAGUGGUGUGUGUGCGUGUGUGUGUGUGUUUCUUUAAAAGGAGGAUUCAUUAGCUGAGCGUGAUGGUGAGCAUCUAUAGUCCCAGCUACUCAGGAGGCUGAUGUGAGAGGAUUGCUUGAACCCAGGAGUUCAAGCCACUGCACUACAGCCUGGGUGACAAAGCAAGAUCCUGCCUCAAAAAGAAUAAAUAAAUAAAAUAAAAUAAAAUAAAAGGAGGAUUCAACCCAAAUAAACAGAUAAGUGCUUUUGAUGACCUAUAAAUGGUGGAAUGACUAGUAACAAAAAACUUUCUCCAGGGAUUUAUUGAUGUUUUUGAAAAUCCUAAAUGGAAAACCAAUAGCAAGUACGUAGAAGAAGCAUUGCCUCAAGGCACCCAGGCCCUCACUUGACUUAUCUCUGUCUUAUCUCCCAAGGCUGCCCCUGAGGCUCCCCCUUUGGAAUUCUAGGGCUCAGAGGAGUCUGGGUGAACACAAAUGCCCUAAAGAAAUAUUGCAAUUAAUGUCUUUGUAGCUUGACUGUUUUAAUAAUGCUUUAAAAAUUGUUUGAAAAAAGGGCAAUGUUCAUAGCUAGAGACUGAAUUUCAGGCAACAAAUACAUCACAUUAUUCCAGACAUCUUGGCCAUCACAACUUCAGGAUAAUGUGCCCUGUUUUUCAGGAAAGGCUGGGCGUGGUGGCCCAUGCCUGUAAUCCCAGCACUUUGGGAGGCCGAGGUGGGAGGAUUGCUUGAAUCCAAGAGUUUGAGAUCAGUCUGGACAAUAUAGUGAGACCCCGUCUCUAAACAAAAAAACAAAUUUAAAUUAUCUGGGAAUGGUGGCACAUGCCUGUAGUCUCAGCUACUUGGGAGGCUGAGCAGGGGAGGAUAGCUUGAGCCAGAGAGGUCAAGGCUGCAGUGAUCAUAGCUGCAGUGAGCUAUGAUCACACCACUGAACUCCAGCCUGGGUGACAGAGCAAGAUCCUGUCUCAAAACAACAACAACAACCACAAAGUCCCCCUGCCCCCCGCCCCCAAAAAACACUGAGGAAAAUUCUAAAAUUAUGAAGUACAGAAAGCGUCAAGAUUGUUUUCAAAUUUACUGAAGUCUCUGACUUUCCACACUCUGGUCUCUAAUUAAUCUCUUUCCCAAGACUUCCCAGGGUGUUAUCUUCUUCUGAAUUGGUGCAUUCUCCUUAGAGCCCCUCCUUAAACAACCUCCUCUUGCUUUUAGGGACCUCUCUCCUUUCCCCGUUUAAAUCCUAUCCAUCUUUCAAGUCCUAAGACAAAUUCUAUCUCUUCUAGGAUAUAGUUUUCUACAACUCUCUCCCUUAUUUAGAUCCACACAGUGUAGCAUUUAAUUGUUCUGUGUUAGCUUUGUCUUCCUAAGUAGGUCACGUUCUCCUUGAGGGCAAAGAUUAUGCUUUAGUUUCCCUUGUUUCUCACUUGGAGAGGCUGGGAGUGAUAUAUACAUAGUAGGUGCUGAUUAAAUAUUUGUUGAUUGAUUCCCUGCAAAGGAGUAGCUGCAAACUAAAGUUAAAGCACUAAACAAACCAAAGCAGUGAUCUGAAUCUCCCUUUGGGAAGAUACUCUUACGGGAAUGGAAAAAAUUCUUCAAAGAGCCUUGUCAGUUAAUGUUCUUCUUUGAAUGCCCUUCUAAUGAGAUUUCAGGUGGGGGUGGUGCAGGGCUGCAGGAGCACUGUUCUCCUUUCCUGUAUAGUUUGGGGUCAGCUACCAAGGACAUCCCAGGAGAACAGGGACUCUGGGGUACAGAGGCAUGAGGAUAGGAUAUAAAACAAAAAGGAAGUGAAAUGCUUGUACACUCAUGUCUACACCCAAGAAUGUGUAAUGCAAGUCUCUUACCCACAAACCAGAAUGAAGAGAGGUUUGGUCCUGCAGCUAGAAAAUAAGAGCAAGAGUGAGAGAGAGAGAGAGACAGAGAGAGAGACAGAGCCCUGAGGCUCUUUGGGGUUGAUAAUAUUCUCUAAAGCUGGGGAGGGGAGAGCUGAUAAAAAGUGCUUGUUCACACUUAGCAGCAUGAAAGGUGACUGAGAAUUAGCCUAAGCCUCUGUGCCUAGCCUCUUUAUAAUGUACUGAAAGUUUCAUAGCUCUAUGCAGGGCAGAGACUGGGCAGGGUACAAUUCUUUACAAGACUAAAUCUUCAGGGCUCUAAGGAAAGGGAAAAGAAUGAAUGAGAGGCACACUAGCAGGGUUGGGAUAAAUGGGUGCAGGAGGAGAAAAGCUGCUUCUUCCUCUUCUCUGGAGAGAUCAAGGAUGAGUGGAUGGAGGGCUGUGUGAGCACAUACACUUCAGAACCUGAUGAUGGGUAGUGGCUGAGGCCACUCAUACAAACAUGAAAACCACUGCUGAGUUGAUGCACAUUCAUUUCUGAUAGCUCAGCAAUCUUACUAUAAAUAGGGAACAGCAGAUGCCAUUCAUUGUUCUGGAAUUGGAGGCACGGGCUCAUUGUCUUGCUUGGGAUAUUUGGACCGGCAUCAUUUAUUAAUCUAAAUAUUCAGUAAAAGUGGAAAGUCAAGGAUUCUCAGGUUAUGGAAAUUAGUGAUCCCCUCCAACAGAAAUAGACGUCAACACUACUUUUACAGAUGCUGAUGAAAAAGUAAAAUGAUUUGGUGGCCCAUUGGCCAAUUUACCUAUUCAUCUCUCUACCAUCUAUGAGUCUAUAUUUUUGAUGCAUUUCAAAGUAAAUUGCAGACAUCAACACACUUAACCCUAAAUACUUCAUAAUGCACAUAUAUAACUAAAGUUCAAUAUAUGUUUACAGUUUUUUUCUUAUGAUAUAAGAUUAGCAAGGUUGCUUAUAUACAAUGUAAAUUGCUUAUCUAUAAGAUGGAAUGGUCCCUAAUGUGGAUGUUAUCAUCCUUAAGUGGAAUUUUAAUUUCCACUCUAGGUCCAAAAUAUUUUCUUUGUAAAAUAAUUCCUUUGAAGUGAUAAUGGAACAUAUGAAACACACACACACACACACACACACACACACACACACACUUCAUCUCUCCUCUUGGAUCUUUGAACAUACACAUACACUCUCUUCGUCUCUCCUCUUGGAUCUUUGAACUUUGCUUCUGCUUAAAAUCUCUCAGGAUGGUUUCUGUAACUCUUUUUGGGGAGCGUUUGUUCCCUCUGGGUAUGAGGCUCAUCCACAGGUUCUUAAAUAUUGUAAAACCACCCAUGUCCCACAGGUAUAGCUGGGAAGACUGUUGGGUGAUUCUAAGAAAGGAAAAGCAGGCGAGGAGAAGAGGUUAGGAUAUUUUUUAUGGGAAAAAGCCAUAACCAAUGUCUAGAUGGUUGAAUAUGCAAUAAGCUGCCUGCUAUUGCCCUUGGUUCUCAGCGGAUAUUCAUAGCACAGAAUAUUCCAGGAAAAGUAGUAGUUUGGUUUCACCCUUGCUCUGCUUGGCAGUCCAGCAGUGCAUGGGUAGGGGAGGCCUCCCCAGCAGAAGACACUUUCAGAUGUGACCUUUCCUCACUACUUACAUUGAGAAGGAAGAGGGCAGAGCAGAGUAGGCUGGAGAUCUAAGAGCACAGUGCUCGGAGGAGAGAUGGUGGGAGAGAGAACGCAGCCCCAGUCACUCUCCUUUAUGACUUCCGGAGUCUGCUAGUGCCACAGUUCUCAAGUGUGCUUUGGGGGGUGGAGGGGGGUGCUCUGGAGGUCCCUUAUGACUUCCGGAGCUCACUAGUGCCACAGUUCACUUAGGGACCCUCUUAGGGUAUGUGUGAGGUCAUCCCUUUUCCAACUGCGUAGUCAUGUGAAGCUGAAUUUUCUUUAGCUACACCACUAAAACAACAUAUUGCAACAAAGCGAAUGCAGAAGUGGAUAUGAGAACCUAGCUGCCUUUUCUUAACAUAGGUGUUAAAGAGACUUGCAAAAAUGCAAAGUAAUGUUACUCUUCUCAUAAAUUUUUAAUUUUGGAAAAUAUAGUUUUUAAAUGGAAUAAAAAUGCUGUCUAUGUGUUAUGUACCUUAGCAUGUAAUGGGUUUAUAGUUCUUUUAAAAUAAAUGUCUACAUGAAUAUUUAAAGUUUUCUUACUUUUAAUUUCUUUCUCUCUCUCCCUUUCCUUCCUUCCUUCCUUCCUUCUUUCCUUCCUUCCUUCUUUCCUUCCUUCCUCCCUCCCUUCCUCCCUCUCUCUCUCUUUCUCUCUUUCUUUCUUUCUUGACAGAGUCUUGCUCUGUCAAGCCCAGGCUGCAGUGCAGUGGCACAAUCUCAGCUCACUGCAACUUCUUCCUUCCGGGUUCAAGCAAUUCUCCUGUCUCAGCCUCCUGAGAAAGUGGGAUUACAGCCGCCAGCCACCAUGCUUGGCUAAUUUUUGUAUUUUUAGUAGAGACAGGGUUUCACCAUGUUGGCCAGGCUGAUCUCAAACUCCUGACCUCAAGUUAUCCGCCUGCCUCGGCUUCCCAAAGUGCUGGAAUUACAGGUGUGAACCAUUUUAAUUUCUAAUAUCAUCACUAAUAAUCUACAUAAAUAAAAGCUGUUUGGGGUUCUCGAUAAUCGCUGAGUGAAGAGGCUCUGAGACUAGAGUUUGAGAACAUCUGCCUAAGGAAGAGCUUACGAAUUCCAAAACCAUGGCAGGAAUGGCGAUCCUUAGAGAAGAUGGAUUCAUUUCAGGGACAUGUUAACUGUAAAAAGAUCAACUCUUCCUCUCUGAACCAACAGCCUGUGUCUACUCCCAAGUGCAAGUGUCCUGAGAGAGGUAUGGCUGCAUGCCUGCCAGGGAGUUUCCUUCCUUUACUUCAUAGCACUGUUUGUUCACAACAUUUUCUUCCUUAUUGACUUGAACACAAGGACACCACCUACCUCAUGUCUUCCUUCUUCCCGUGGAUGUCCAGAUGAAGCACUCCACACUCCUUUGAGAGAGAUAAACAAGGAAGAUGUGUGCUUAGUCCAGAGGUUUCAUCAAGAAAUGAAAGCAGAGACAAUAAAGUUUUGGUCUUGGUUCUCCUGUUGGCUUCAGAAUGAACAUAAUUAAGAUGAUUAACGAUCAACUCAGGCCUGAAAAAUGAGUAACUGUAGGUCAUGUUGCCAUGAAGUUACGAAGAAAAAGAACUCUUCAGAGGUGUAUACAUG
RNAcentral lists this long non-coding RNA (14365 nucleotides) under Homo sapiens (human). RNAcentral describes it as "HSALNT0249186". Lineage: Eukaryota; Metazoa; Chordata; Mammalia; Primates; Hominidae. The record is from RNAcentral.